RNAcentral lists this small RNA (28 nucleotides) under Bombyx mori (domestic silkworm). RNAcentral describes it as "ovarian small RNA-6465". The record is from RNAcentral. Lineage: Eukaryota; Metazoa; Arthropoda; Insecta; Lepidoptera; Bombycidae.
UAGUCGAUAACCAACGACGUCGGUGUCC